CUGCAUCUGAGCACCAAAUCUGGGGCCAUGCCAGCUGCUACAACUCUCUGUCUGACAACUAGAGACCAGGACCUGGACCUCCACCUUCUGUUUCCUGUUGCUUAGCCCAAAUUCUGGCUCUACCGUUUCCAAGAUGUGACUCAGAUCUACCUCCUCCAGGAAGUCUUCCCCAACUACUCCAGCCCAUACUGAUCCUUCUUUUCUCUAACCCUUGAGCUGUCCAAAUGAGGAAAAAAUGCUUUGAUGAGAAGCCCAGAGGUGGAGAGUGUCUUGUUCUAAAUCAAACAGACUCAAACGAGAACCCAGGUCCCUUAAUACUCUUUCUAUCUCUUUCCAUUCCUCUGAGGUGAUCAAGCAAUAUAACAAGCCUACUGUGCUAGAUUUACAUAUAUCCGAUAAUAAUAAUGGAUUAAUCAAUAUAACCAGCCUACUGUGCUAGAUUUACAUAUAUCCAAUAAUAAUGGAUCAAUCAAUAUAGCAAGCCUACUGUGCUAGAUUUACAUGUAUAUCCAAUAAUAAUAAUGGAUCAAUCAAUAUAACAAGCCUACUGUGCUAGAUUUACAUAUAUAUAUCCAAUAAUAAUGGAUCAAUCAAUAUAGCAAGCCUACUGUGCUAGAUUUACAUAUAUAUCCAAUAAUAAUAAGGGAUCAAUCAAUAUAGCAAGCCUACUGUGCUAGAUUUACAUAUAUAUCCAAUAAUAAUAAGGGAUCAAUCAAUAUAGCAAGCCUACUGUGCUAGAUUUACAUAUAUAUCCAAUAAUAAUGGAUUAAUCAAUAUAGCAAGCCUACUGUGCUAGAUUUACAUAUAUAUCCAAUAAUAAUAAGGGAUCAAUCAAUAUAGCAAGCCUACUGUGCUAAAUUUACAUAUAUAUCCAAUAAUAAUAAUGGAUCAAUCAAUAUAGCAAGCCUACUGUGCUAGAUUUACACAUAUAUACAAUAAUAAUAAUGGAUCAAUCCAUAUAACAAGCCUACUGUGCUAGAUUUACAUAUAUAUACAAUAAUAAUAAUGGAUCAAUCCAUAUAACAAGCCUACUGUGCUAACUAGUCCCUUCCCUGGACACUGAGAAUUCAAAUAUGAAAGAAGCAGUCCCUGUCCUCAGGGAGCUUACAUUCAAAUGGGGGCAACAACGUACACAAUCGUGGAUGUGUAGAAAAUGUAGGCAAAGCAGAUAGAAAGUAACCUUUGGGAGAAAGCCCUGGGCAGAAGGUGUUGCUUGAGAUGAGUCAUCAUUCUCAUUACAAAUAAACACAUCACUUACUAAUGUGUGCA
This 1269-nucleotide long non-coding RNA is filed under the name Monodelphis domestica (gray short-tailed opossum). Its description in RNAcentral is "lncRNA (ENSMODG00000047738.1)". Lineage: Eukaryota; Metazoa; Chordata; Mammalia; Didelphimorphia; Didelphidae. The record is from RNAcentral.